UUGUGUGAUGUGUUCUUGGUUUUGCAUUUUGAAUGUAGAACUACAGGUACUGUGCUGCAUAAACAUGUACACUUAAAAACGUAAUUAAUACAAAAUGAGGCUUUAAUUAACUAUUCAUCGAAAUCUGGAGUAGUUAAAACAGAGUAGAAGAUUAAAAAUGGAGGAAGAGAGAGAAGAAGGAGAAAAAAGCUUCACUGUGACCAACUGCUGCAAACAAAUGUUUCUCUAUGUAAUGCGGAACGAAAAGCUGGUUCACGUCCCAUCCCGGAAGUUCACAGUCUGACAUCUGGUGGAAACUCAAAAUACUGGUAGUAUCAAAGUACUAGUGAUGGGAAGUUCGGAUCAUUUUACUGACUGGGUUUUUUGAAUCUCGUUCAGCAAAAUGAACGAAUGUUUUUUCGAGUCAUUUCGUUAAUUUUGAACGACUCGAAAGGUAUUAUAGUGAUGUGUCCUUCACGAAAAUCUUUCCCAUGACUCGAGAACAUCGGGUCGACUCGGGGAGUGAUUCAUUCAUUUUGUGUUGACCGCGCAUGCGCAACAUCGCAUAAGAUUAGUACACCUUUCUGUUCGUUUUUGAACGUGAUCAAUAUGUGCAUAAGUAGAUGGGGAAUUAACAUGUAACAUUUUAAUUACAUUCUGCUGAAGUGAAUGAAAUUACUCGAAAGACUCCACACAUCGAGAGUAGGCACUGGAAUCGUUUUUAACCACGUAGUGAGCACCCCGCCUUAGUUAACGAUCUUUGCUGAGAACAGGAAAACAACCCAGCAGCGACUUCCGGUUGCUCCUCCGCCUCCAGUCAGCUGUCUCACGUUUGUAUACAAACAGAUCCGUCUGCAGGUCUUUGCUCCAUACUCUGUGCAAUUCUAGCUCCUCCACGAUGGAAGAAAACAACGACGGCGACAUCAUCGAGCACCACAUCGAGGAGGACAUGGAGAAGAAGACGAGGAGCCAGGCAGCGUCCCCCUCGUUCCUGGAGAGCGUCAGUUCCCCCGAUAGAGAUUGUCUCAGCAGCACCCAGUCCUCCCACAGACUGCUGGCCUACAGCGAUGCCCUCAUCUCCAUCAUCGCCACUGUCAUGAUUUUACCUGUUGCACAUACUAAAGUGGAAGAUAAUGAGGAGCUGAGGGAAAUCAUGCAGGUCCUGUUGACAACAAAGAUUGGUGUUUACUUAAUGACAUUCCUCAUUGUGACUGUUGCCUGGGCUGCACAUAUCAGGCCUGCAUGAUGCUGAUAACCUUUCUGCCGUACACAUUCUCUCUGAUGGCAACUUUCCCUGAGAACAUUCUCGGGAUUUUACUCUUUUGUGGUUGUGUGAUGGUGAUCGGCGUCAUUCAGAGAGAAGGUGUGUGUUGACUAUGGCGACAUCUGGACAGAGGAAGCCUGAGGCUCCCAAUGUGACACACAAAUGCUAUGUUCACACUACAUGCUGAAGUGACUAAAAUGAAUUUUUUUCCCCAUCAAGUGACUCAGAGCUGACUUUUUCAGAUGGGAUUUGGGCCACUUGCACGUGUGCUUCUAGAUCCGAUUCAUAUGCUAUAUGCCAUAAGUGAGAGAUUAGGAGUACAACAGCAUUCAGAACAGAGCUGGAUACAUGUCACUUACAUACAUGAAUGUGAACAAUGAACAGAAAAAGAUCAGAUCUGACCAAAAGAUCAGAAUUGAUGAAUAAGGCUUAUAAUGGGAACAUGGUGCAAGUUCCCACAUAUUUCUGAAGUACACCCUAGUCUCAGCCCCUGAGGAUGCAAUCUACAAGAGAGAAAGAGAAAAAAUGGCCAGGUUCUGCCAAGCAAUGUCAGAUAGGAUGGAGUACUGAGUCAGGUAAGGAGAGACGCUAUGCAACUUGUCCUGAUGCAUACAGUGCAUAUUCAAACACUCAAGAUCCUCAUUGGAGGGAUUAAGUUAGUAGAAAUCUGGUCAGCAUGCUGUAACAGUGCUAUAUUAACCUGGCAUUAAACACACUGCAGUUUAUAAAAGACACAAUAAGGGGAUGCCACCAGAGAUAGUAAUGUCCUCAACAGGAUGAACCUACAAUGAGGCUGUGCCAGCAAUAUGAAAAUAAAAGCAUUAGUGUGCAGAGAAAGCCCAAAGCAGCAAUAACAACCAGUAUAAGACUACCAGCAAAUUAGCAGUACUGUCAGUAACACAGGAAUCUGUGAUGAUGCAGCAAAGGUGGGUUGCCUGGGUGACAGUUGUGGUGCCAGGGUCUGUAUUGCCUUCUGUAGUGCAGGCAAGGAUACAGACUGCACUGUGGAGGAUCGAAUCCUUAGUAUGAUUGAUGCUAGAUGUUAUCCUCUACUGAUUUCUUGGGCAGUUCUCUUAACAUUGACAAGUGCUUUUCUGUUUGCAGUGGUGGAGGUUAAAGUGCAGCACAUCCGAUUUGAUGACACACUGGUAAAAGUUCUCAAGGAGCUUUUGCAGGAAUGGGGCUCUCUUCAGUCACACGAGGAAAUAAAUUCUUCCUGUGAAGUAUUUUCAACAAGAGAGAAUGUGCUGAGAGCCCUAAACAGAGAAACUUGAGACUAGGGUCCCACUCCACCUUGUGGAUGAUGCAAAUGAGAUGUAUGGCUCUGGCAAGAUUUUGGGAUUGUUAGCAGGCAGUGAUAGUAGCCUCCAAGUGGGUAGAAGCAUUCUUUAGAAACAUGCUUGUAAUAUAUUAUUGUUUUUGGAGACACUACUGGUCAAAUAAUCAAUCCUCUGCUUAUGAUGUUGUAAACUCACAAUGACUGUAACUUUGUAACACCAGUUUAUGUUUGGUGCUGUAGUAGUGAGGCUGUUGCAGGUUGUUAGUGCUAACAAGUUGCUAACAAGUGGCUAAAUGAGACCACAGAGGCUGUCUGAGAUUUUACACAUCAUCACAGAGACCCAUCUACUCACUAGUGCCCCUUUACAGCCUUGUUAUUUUUAAAUUUGUGCACUUGUAAACUAUUGUAACUGACACAGCCCAGAUUACCAGCUAAUCAGGUCACGCUAAGAGGAAAGGAUUUUGUAGAAGAAGUGCGUGCUAGAAAUCAAAUUACAAGUUGGAAGCUGUGGUGGUGAUGCUGAACUCAUGGGACCGUGAUGUAGUUUGUUUACAACCUAACAACAGGCUAUAAAAAGAUCAUAAAAGUGGUGUUCAUUGUGAUGCCUAUUUUAUUUGGGACUCAAUCUUAAACUGAAUAUGCCCCUUGGAAUUCAAAUAAAAAUACUCUGUGGAGUUUUUUUUUUAUAAAGAAUAUUUACAUUCAGUGGUACACACAGUAAAACACCUCGAGAUUUAUCAAAACUAAAUGUUGAAUGUGCUUCCUUCCUCAUUAAUGGCAUAUAUGAUUACAUUAAUCAGUAGAGAAAAAAAGUAUGUGAUACUAUGUUUGGCCAGCUACUCUGGGGCACUUCGUGUUCAUUUGUAUUGCUGAAUGGCAGGAGCCCCGUUGAACUACAGCAAUGUAAUUUGUGGAGCACAUGAGCGGUGACAGGAUAAUAACAGUUGCUGAGACUGAAGAUGCCCAUGGAUGAGAGGACAGGAAGAUGCUGUUGAUCUAUGUGGAGACUUAAUGCCAUAGUAAAUGCUAGUCCUUCAUAUCAUUGAUCUGUCGUAGCAUUUGGAGUCAUCUGGCUCUAUUAUCCUGCCAGUGCAAUUUCUGAGUUGCAUUAUUCACAGUCUUUAUGCAAUUUUCCCAGGGCACAUGUUUACUUUCUGUUGUGCAUUGGUGUGUUUGGUUUCCAGCCAUGAAUGAAUGUGCUUACACUGAAGUGGGAAGAGAGGUGCAGUUGAGGCCCUGUGUAUGCUGAUUAGGCAAGACAGUGUAGUUUUGGUCCUCUGUUUUCUAGUGAUAGUGAUAACUAUAACACCUGCUCAGAUCACCUCUCAUUGCUGUCACAGGUGUAUUUGCAAUUUUCCUGACAAGUGCGUGAGCUGGGAAGCACGAGAUCAGGUACAAACAUGUAUUUUAAUGGCCACACCAACUUAAAAUUAACCUUUAAAUCCACAACCGAUCUGCUGGAAUUCACUCUGGAUAAUAAAUUUUGUAUCAUGAAAUGUGUGAUGAUUUCAAAAGGCCAUUUUUAACCCUUAGUAGUUCCUUUAAAAAAAUCACACAUAUGUACCUAAAGGCAAAUUAGUAACCCCUUAUAAAAACAGCUCCAAAAAUGUCAUAAAUUCAUAUUUUUUUCCACUUUAAACUGACCAAUCUUUAAAAACUACUUGUUCCUGAAAUAUACAUAUCAAAUAUGAAUUAUAUUUCUGGAAUUUUUAACCCUUUAUAGGCCAGUAUGUUUUCAUAACUCCAUAUUUUUAUAUGGGAACAAUAUGGAAAAUUAGAAUAAUUUCCAAAAAAAUACAUUUCAACCAGUAUUUGUUUAUUAUUAUUAUUAGGCCCUGGGAUAGGUCAAUGAUUGGCAGCAACAUUGAUUUUGAAGCAUUUUUUUUUUUUGGCAGAGGCAGAUUUUAAGUGCCUAAUGGCAAAAAGUGUCCACUUACAAAAACAGCUCUAAAAAUGUCAUAAAUUCAUAUUACCCUGUUCUGUUCUAAAAAUAAAUUAAAAAAAAUACAAGAUUAGUUUGAACCAGAACAUUUAUUUACAAGAACAAAGGACAAGGAACACUAAAAAACAUAAACUUUGAAUCACUCUGUGUAUUAGCUCAAGCAGAGGCUGCAAAUAGAAAUGGAGUGGUUCUUGCAGCUAAACCUGUGGCACUUACAGCAGGUGCCUACAACCCUCUUUUUUGUGCACAAGUGGCACUGCCGUCUGCUCUUGACUUUGCUCCUCUGACUGCCUGCUAGAAUGUACCUCAGCAUCUGGUCAUUUGGGGGAGACCACAAAAGCGUUCUAUCUGUCCAUGCAGCACCUAUUGCAUCAGCCUCGCUCCUGCUGCUAUCUUCAGACUAUCACUCUUAGCUCUCUGUCUGCAAGACUACAUCCAAAGCUUUAUAAACUACUAUUUCUCUGAAGCUUCUUCCGGUUCUUUUAAACCAGGAACUCUCAAUGAGACGAAGUAGACUGCUUUAGAUUUUAUAAAAA
Monopterus albus (swamp eel) is the source of this 5000-nucleotide RNA transcript. It is a transcript of the gene named endosomal/lysomomal potassium channel TMEM175-like, with no coding region annotated. The record is from RefSeq and is a predicted model, not a curated record. The transcript has 6 exons. Lineage: Eukaryota; Metazoa; Chordata; Actinopteri; Synbranchiformes; Synbranchidae.